Molecule: long non-coding RNA, 3085 nt
Organism: Ctenopharyngodon idella (grass carp)
Lineage: Eukaryota; Metazoa; Chordata; Actinopteri; Cypriniformes; Xenocyprididae
Exons: 2
Source: RefSeq, a predicted model, not a curated record
GUGCUAGCAUUGCACAUCCUCAUAUUGCCGACUGUACUAUCAAAUUUAUACUGAAUGGACAUUUUGGACUAUAAGUAUGCUUGUGAGCUGCCUGGCCUCACUACAAAGCUCUCUCUCUAAGCACAUGGGUCUUGCCUGAUCCCAAUGUCUUCAGCACUACCUCUCCUGGUCCUCCGCCAGCCGCGCUUGCCUGAGCUCCACAGCCAGGGACCCUCCGCACUGGACCAGGCACCACCAUGCCCCCAUCAUUUACAUCCUUUAAGCCAUGGACAGGCAGAGACGGAGCAGCUCGCCAACGGCCCGAUGCCAGGCCUGCCGCCUCUGAUAAACAGAAACCCUCCUCUUUCUGCCCAGCUCUCUGCUUUUUUCCCAUCCCUCUCAUGUCUCAGCUAUAGCCGGCCCGUACAGCAUCUGUGGACUCAGGCGAAGGAAAAGCAGUUGCCAAAUUCACUUAUUUUCAGUGUUUUUCUCUUUUUUGGGUUGAAAAAGAGAAUGACUAAGAAACCAUGAAGAUGAUUAGGGAAGCUUUUCUCCUAAACAUUGUUUUGUGAUUUUGAAGUUUGCAUGGUGACUACAACAAUUUGACAUGAAGUGAGUUAAUGAAAUGCUCUUCAUAUUGCCUAUUUUAAGCAGAUGGUAGGGCUCUUUGAAGAGUAUGAUCAUAUAUACUGUGCAAUGGUAGAAAUGUGUAACCUGUUGUAGCAAAGACUUUGCAAUCUCUUGUGGAAAAGAAGUACACAAGCAAACUUUUAAGAGUACUUAUUACACAAAUUAGGGUUGGGUUGAACAUAUUGAUUUCUCAGUUUUAAUCGAUUUUCAUUUUGAUGAACAGAUAUUGAUUCUUAAAGGGUUAGUUCACCCAAAAAUGAAAUUUUGAAAAGGUCUUUAUGGGUUUGGAAUGACAUGAGGGUGAGUAAUUAAUGACAGAAAUUUUUGGGUGAACUAACCCUUUAAAUCCCAAGAAUCAAUGUUUAAUUUAUUCUGUUUUCAGUUGAUAAAUCAACAGAAAUUUCUGGCAUUUUCUGGCAUUCUCUCGCAAUUGCGAGUUUAUAUCUCACAAUCCGGACUUUAUAACUUGCAAUUGCGAUCUCACAAUUUUGAGAAAAAAGUCUUGCAACUGCGUGAAAUAAAGUGAGAAUUGAGAGAUGUAAACUUGCGAUUGUGAGAAAAAAAAGUCUUCAUUUAUCAAGCCAUCAAGCAAACUUGAUUUGAAAUUGAUUCUAAGACUGGACUAGAUUAUUGAUCAGACAUACUUCAGGACUUUUAUUUUGAUAUUCUUUUGCCUUGCUGUCGUUUGUUUAUGUUUGCCUGUUCUGCGUUUAAUUCCAGUUUUAGACUUGCCCUGCAUCCCAAUGUGCAUAUUUCUGCCCUAAAUAGUAUUGAAGAUUACUAAUGUCACAUACUAUUUAGGAUGGAUAGUAUGCACAUUGAGAUGCAGGCAUACACUCGUGAACUUCCCUAAGGAGGGGAAUCCCCGCUGCCAUUUUGAAGUGCGUUUAACUUUGUCAAGUGGACGAGGGAAGUUUAUUUGGACAGACCCUCGAACCCCUGAUUUUGACAGAGGGAGUGAGCCUACUCAAUAUGUACACUUCAAGCAGAUACAUAGACCACAAUGCAACACGAUUGUGACGUCACAGCAGAUUGAGCUUAAUUUACCCCCACCCCACACAAAUCUAUUGUAUAAUAUUGGAGUUAUUUUGACAUUUAACUGCAUUUAAUACUUGUAGCUACCUUUUUUUUUGUUUUUGUUUUUUACACAGUUAUAGUUUAUUGUAUUGUUAUCAUUUCCAUUUGUGUGUAUUUUAUAUUUAAUAUAAUAUAUUAAUAUUUAAUAUUUGUUCAUAUUUAAUUUUUAACAGCCUAAGCAUACAUACAGGCCUAACUGCUUAAGUCGUGACGUAAGGAACGCCAUUUCUGGGUCCAAGCCUCGACUCGUUUCACUUGAGAAUCCCAUCGCGACGGGCGUUUAUGAGCGCUAUUUAUUCAUAUUAAACGUUUAACAUUUAAAAAAGUUAAACAUUUAAAAUACUUAGUCUACACAACAGCCUCGGUGCUCACAACAUCACAGAAUUAAUAUUUUAAUGAUUUAUAAAAGACGAAUCACUGUCUGGCCAUCUGGGAUUUUGGUAUGGAGAUAAAGGUUAUGAUUAUUAUUUUUUGAUAGUAUUACACCACAUCGUGCGUGUAUAUUAGCACAAUUUGUUGUUUUCUUGUGGUACGAGAUAGAGUAUUUGGACCCUGGAAGCGCUGCCGCAUGAUAUCAGACUUAACAACUGAAAUGAAUGGCACGUAAACAAAUUUAUAUGGAUUAAAAAAAAACAAAAAAAAACUAUAAAUAAUAAAUCAGCUCCAUAUUGGAUUCCAAGUGAUCAAGGGCUUAGGGUGUUCCAUAUUGCAAUGGUUCCGUCAGCAGUGGGCACUAGUACAUCCGAGUUAAUGAGACGGAGGGAAGUUAGCGAGGAAAGGGCAUAAAAAAAUUGGACUUAGGCCUAGUCCACAUGUACAUGGGUAUUUUUAUAAACAUAUACAAAUACUAUGUAUUUUUAUAUGUUUAUAAACACACUAUGAAGCGCUGUCAAGAGCAUGCCAAACCAACAGGUGGCGAUAUAACCCUAACCGUAAAGCCAUGUUGGGCAAUCAGAAGCCUGGAUAAAAGGUUAUUACCAGUUCCGGUUCCAACGUCACAAGCCAAAAUCUCUGGUUUCACCGUCUACAUGACAACACUGCAACCGGAGUUUCUAAAAAUCUUCACCCUGGCAGAAGUUUCAGUGACCGGAUACUGCAUUUGCAUGUGGACGAACGGCCAAACUGCAUAGAAAAACCUGCGGUUUUGAAAAUUCCCAUGUUCGUGUGGACAGGGCCUUAAACGCAGCCCUUGUUAGUUUCCAUCACAACUAAUUACCUUCACCUGUUCCUUGUUAGCCUCUUCUUACCCAGUGUAUUUAUACCCCUGUGUUUCAGUCCUUGUUUGUCAGUCAUUGUCUUUACAACCCUGUUUAAAGCUGUUGAGUUUCUUGUUCCCGAAUUAGAUUGGAUUGUUAGGUUAUCUUUUUGUGUUUGUUGAAUAAAACUGCUUGCUAUAUGA